RNAcentral lists this ribosomal RNA (907 nucleotides) under uncultured soil bacterium. RNAcentral describes it as "bacterial SSU rRNA". It matches the Rfam family "Bacterial small subunit ribosomal RNA", at positions 56 to 960 of the family's 1533-position model. The record is from RNAcentral.
UGCAAGUCGAACGGCAGCACGGGAGCAAUCCUGGUGGCGAGUGGCGAACGGGUUAGUAAUACAUCGGAACGUGCCCAAUCGUGGGGGAUAACGCAGCGAAAGCUGUGCUAAUACCGCAUAAGAUCUACGGAUGAAAGCAGGGGAUCGCAAGACCUUGCGCGAAUGGAGCGGCCGAUGGCAGAUUAGGUAGUUGGUGAGGUAAAGGCUCACCAAGCCUUCGAUCUGUAGCUGGUCUGAGAGGACGACCAGCCACACUGGGACUGAGACACGGCCCAGACUCCUACGGGAGGCAGCAGUGGGGAAUUUUGGACAAUGGGCGAAAGCCUGAUCCAGCCAUGCCGCGUGCAGGAUGAAGGCCUUCGGGUUGUAAACUGCUUUUGUACGGAACGAAAAGUCUCUUUCUAAUAAAGAGGGAUCAUGACGGUACCGUAAGAAUAAGCACCGGCUAACUACGUGCCAGCAGCCGCGGUAAUACGUAGGGUGCAAGCGUUAAUCGGAAUUACUGGGCGUAAAGCGUGCGCAGGCGGUUAUGUAAGACAGUUGUGAAAUCCCCGGGCUCAACCUGGGAACUGCAUCUGUGACUGCAUAGCUAGAGUACGGUAGAGGGGGAUGGAAUUCCGCGUGUAGCAGUGAAAUGCGUAGAUAUGCGGAGGAACACCGAUGGCGAAGGCAAUCCCCUGGACCUGUACUGACGCUCAUGCACGAAAGCGUGGGGAGCAAACAGGAUUAGAUACCCUGGUAGUCCACGCCCUAAACGAUGUCAACUGGUUGUUGGGUCUUCACUGACUCAGUAACGAAGCUAACGCGUGAAGUUGACCGCCUGGGGAGUACGGCCGCAAGGUUGAAACUCAAAGAAUUGACGGGGACCCGCACAAGCGGUGGAUGAUGUGGUUUUAUUCGAUGCAAA